AUUGAACGCUGGCGGCAUGCCCUACACAUGCAAGUCGAACGGUAACAGGUUAAGCUGACGAGUGGCGAACGGGUGAGUAAUAUAUCGGAACGUGCCCAGUCGUGGGGGAUAACUGCUCGAAAGAGCAGCUAAUACCGCAUACGACCUGAGGGUGAAAGCGGGGGAUCGCAAGACCUCGCGCGAUUGGAGCGGCCGAUAUC
RNAcentral lists this ribosomal RNA (200 nucleotides) under uncultured bacterium. Its description in RNAcentral is "partial 16S ribosomal RNA". It matches the Rfam family "Bacterial small subunit ribosomal RNA", at positions 30 to 237 of the family's 1533-position model. The record is from RNAcentral.